Molecule: ribosomal RNA, 469 nt
Filed under: uncultured bacterium
Lineage: Bacteria
Description: bacterial SSU rRNA
Rfam family: Bacterial small subunit ribosomal RNA
Source: RNAcentral
AUUGAACGCUGGCGGCAUGCCUUACACAUGCAAGUCGAACGGCAGCACGGGAGCAAUCCUGGUGGCGAGUGGCGAACGGGUGAGUAAUAUAUCGGAACGUGCCCGGUCGUGGGGGAUAACGUAGCGAAAGCUACGCUAAUACCGCAUACGAUCUACGGAUGAAAGCGGGGGAUCGCAAGACCUCGCGCGAUUGGAGCGGCCGAUAUCAGAUUAGGUAGUUGGUGAGGUAAAGGCUCACCAAGCCGACGAUCUGUAGCUGGUCUGAGAGGACGACCAGCCACACUGGGACUGAGACACGGCCCAGACUCCUACGGGAGGCAGCAGUGGGGAAUUUUGGACAAUGGGCGCAAGCCUGAUCCAGCAAUGCCGCGUGCAGGAUGAAGGCCUCGGUUGUAACUAGCUUUGUUACGGAACGAAACGGUAGAGCUCUAAUACAGUUGUCUAAUGACGGUACCGUAAGAAUAAGACA